UACCUUGAAGUGUCUCUGGUAUGUGUGGUAAGCAGCGGCGUGAGACAAGAGAAUGUUAUGAGCUACAACAUAAGGCUCCACAGAUGACUUCCCUUCCUUACAGAACCAAUGUCCCAGAAGCGAGCACCUCCCUGGAGCCUGUAUCCCUGUGUCAUAGCCUUGGAUCGUUAGCCCGCGUGGCUCAUUGAAAGUGAUCCAGUACUUCACUCUGUCUCCGAAUGCUUUGAAACAGGAUUUAGCAUUUUACUUACACGACUUGUCUGCUCAGCCAUCCUUCAUAUCUGUCUUCUAAAGCUUGUGGGAGAUCCCAGUGAUACAAUGUCACAUAAGUUUGUAGAAGAAGGAGAAGAAUGUCACCUGGUAAGCUGAAGAAGCUGUCCCGAACACAAACCCAUCUGGAAAACUCUCUCUGGUAAUAGAUUCCGAUGAAACUUGCUGACGAGACGCGAUGAAGAACAGAUACAUAACCAGGACGAGUCUCAUGAUAUAUUCCAUUCGUUGGCUGGCAUGAAUAAAGGAAAGCGAGACAGAGAAAAGAUAUAGGAGUGAAAUUGUUUGGGAAAGGAAAGAUUUGGAGGCAGAAAGUGUGAGUUAUUAUGUGCAAAGCAAAAGGGCUCCUCUCUUAUGUGAAGGCUCUUCUUUGGUGUUGACAUUUGUGUUUCUCUCUUCUUAUAUUAUUGUGUACACGUUGCUUUUACUUCUUCUGCCAAAGACUAAAAGUGUACUCUAAGAUGAAUAUAAGUUUGUUAGUGAGACAUUGAUUCACUUAAAUAAAUACCUUUGCUUUUUUGCAUUA
Long non-coding RNA from Brassica napus (rape), 796 nucleotides. RefSeq lists it as uncharacterized. The record is from RefSeq and is a predicted model, not a curated record. Lineage: Eukaryota; Viridiplantae; Streptophyta; Magnoliopsida; Brassicales; Brassicaceae. The transcript is spliced from 3 exons.